GCGGGGGGGGGAGCGUGGGCGGAGAGCGCUGGCGCAUGCGCAGAAGCGAUCGUGCCCCCCCUGAGGCGACCGUUAACGGCCGGGGGCUGAGGGGAGGGAGGGAGGCGGCGGCUCCUCAGCGCUCCCAUCAGCGGCGCCGCCGCUCCGGGGGCCCUGUCACGGCAGCCGCCCCGCUGCUCCCGGCCGAGGUUUAAUCUCCCGCUGCCCUACAUAGCGGUGAGAGGCGAGGAGGGGCCGGGCAGGCUCCCAGCUCUCGUGAUCCGCCGGUUUCCUCAGCACCUCAGCGCUGGGUGUUCAGCCCCCCCUCCCCCCCAACCCGUGCCCCCCGCCCCAGCCGCGCUGGGAUUUAAGCUGCACACACGCAGUAAAUUUGGCCGAGUCCAGCCCCGAGAGCGCAGGCAGAUGCGGAGGAGCUCCCGCAGAAGGAACGAGCUGACAGAAGUGGCGGGCACCGCAGCUGCAAGGCUUCUCCCGGUGGCAGCCACUGCCUCUUGCUGCAGCAGGGCCGGCUGCAGCAAGCCUGCUGCAGAGCGGUGUGUGAGGCCAGAGGAAAGGGUGCGCAGCCUCCCUCUGAAAGCCCAGUGGGGCCACGCAUGCCAACGCAGGGAUGUGCCCCUCAUGUGGUGGCAGAAAGGGGCCCGCUUCCUCCCGUGAGACGCUCCGACGUUGGCUUGGUUCAGCUGCCCCUCCGCAAGCCUCCCUGGCAAAGGCUCCAGAAAUAACUUGGGAUGUUUUGUUUCAGUUGCACGGUACAAUUUGAUCUGCCCCUUGCUAAUAAACCCCACUGGUUGCCGAGCCACAAAAUCAGGACUGAAUUCCUCUUCGCGUGCCCCAGAGAAAGGAACAGCUUGGAAGUCGCAUGUGGUAGGUGCUUCCCCCGUCACCUUUUUGCAGUGAGGACCAGGGGAUAUCCCCAUCCAACCUGGGCAGACAAGGAGCCCGUGCUAUUUGUGUAGAUGAGGCAGAAUUUGCUGCCUCCCUGGCAAGGAAUGGGUGACACAAUGCCUGGGCACAUGCUGCUUGGAAAGAGCCACCUUGCUAAUGUUGGAGGCGGUCAGGAGGCUGGAACUGCACAGGUUAACGCAUCGUUUCAAGGGGGUUUGGAUGAUAAAUCCAGCUGCAAGCAGCAUGCAGAACAGGUCAUGCUCCACUGCCCGGUGUGUUCCGGGGCUGCCACGUGCCUUCAACAGGCUCCUUCUGCCUUGCCAAGCUCAGCUGGCAGAAGGAACGAGCACAUGCGUGGAGGAGAGAUGCCACUUCACACGGGGCAAUGAAAGGCAGAUGUCAGACCACACAUGGCAGAGGCAGCGCACACAGCUCGGCGAGGGGCUCGCAGCAGAGCUUUUAUCCAGCCAGCAGCUAAAUGAAGGAUCUUUCUUCAGAGGGCUGUCACCAGGCCUGAAGUGCACCAGCACCUGCAGAUCCGACUGCGAGGGUUAUCAGGCCUGCCUCCCUGACACCUUGAGGCCCCGAGGAAGUGUUGGACACUCAGACUUCUCCAGUACAACCGGGUUUAUCACAAGGAGCUGAGGCUGGCAGGUUGAAUUUCACCAGGACCUUUCCGAAAGAACAUCUGAACACUUCCUGGCACCUCUUCUAUGGGGUUGAGAUGCUGCUGGAGGUGACGGGCAUCUGCGGAGCUGCGAGGACACCCAGAAUGACAGCAGCAAGGAAGGCUGCGGCCAAACCAGCAAGAAGAACAGCAGAUUAUACUGAAGGAUGGCAGAAAGCACAAACAACGCAGUGCCAGCAGUCCUCCCUUUGCUUCCCCCGAUACGGUAAGGAAAAAAGGCU
Anas platyrhynchos (mallard) is the source of this 1794-nucleotide long non-coding RNA. RefSeq lists it as uncharacterized. The record is from RefSeq and is a predicted model, not a curated record. Lineage: Eukaryota; Metazoa; Chordata; Aves; Anseriformes; Anatidae.